Myotis lucifugus (little brown bat) is the source of this 585-nucleotide non-coding RNA. The record is from the annotation of a RefSeq genome assembly. Lineage: Eukaryota; Metazoa; Chordata; Mammalia; Chiroptera; Vespertilionidae.
UUAGAAGAUGCCACUCAUCCUGAUUCCACCAUGGACUACAAGCUGCUCUGCUAUGUGGCCCUCUGUCUCAUGGGAACAGUCCUCAUGGACACUGGAAUUACUCAGAUGCCAAGACACCUGGUCAUGGGGAUGAGAAAUAAGAAGUCUUUGAAAUGCAAACAACAUCUGGGGCAUAAUAAUAUGUACUGGUAUAAACAGAGUGCUCAGAAGCCACCAGAGCUCAUGUUUAUCUACAACUAUAAGGAACUCGUUGAAAAUAACACUGUCCCGAGUCGCUUCUCACCCGAAUGUCCAGACAGCUCUCAGUUAUACCUUCACAUGGAUGCCCCGGAGCCAGAAGACUCCGCCGUGUACCUCUGUGCCAGCAGCAAAGACACAGCCUUGCAGAAGCACCUUCUGCCUGUGCAGAAACGGCCUGGGUCCAGUCAGGAAACUGUGGGGCAACCAAGGCUCCGUUCAGCAUUUCCUGUGAGAGCCCAGAAAGAAAUCUCAGAGCACAAUGCUGCCUGUCAAUUCACUGGCUAUGACAAUGUUAAAUCCCAUGCAGACCCAACAGCCUGUGGCCUGGCCUUGUCUUUAACUUGA